Molecule: ribosomal RNA, 27 nt
Filed under: Laetiporus sulphureus
Lineage: Eukaryota; Fungi; Basidiomycota; Agaricomycetes; Polyporales; Laetiporaceae
Also listed under: 4 other names
Description: partial 28S ribosomal RNA
Source: RNAcentral
CUGACCUCAAAUCAGGUAGGACUACCC